RNAcentral lists this ribosomal RNA (460 nucleotides) under uncultured bacterium. RNAcentral's name for it is "partial 16S ribosomal RNA". It matches the Rfam family "Bacterial small subunit ribosomal RNA", at positions 338 to 795 of the family's 1533-position model. The record is from RNAcentral.
CCUACGGGGGGCAGCAGUGAGGAAUAUUGGUCAAUGGGCGCGAGCCUGAACCAGCCAAGUAGCGUGAAGGAUGACUGCCCUACGGGUUGUAAACUUCUUUUAUAAAGGAAUAAAGUGAGGCACGUGUGCCUUUUUGUAUGUACUUUAUGAAUAAGGAUCGGCUAACUCCGUGCCAGCAGCCGCGGUAAUACGGAGGAUCCGAGCGUUAUCCGGAUUUAUUGGGGUUAAAGGGAGCGUAGAUGGGUUGUUAAGUCAGUUGUGAAAGUUUGCGGCUCAACCGUAAAAUUGCAAUUGAUACUGGCUGUCUUGAGUACAGUUGAGGUAGGCGGAAUUCGUGGUGUAGCGGUGAAAUGCUUAGAUGUCACGAAGAACUCCGAUUGCGAAGGCAGCUUACUAAACUGCCACUGACAUUGAUGCUCGAAAGUGUGGGUAUCAAACAGGAUUAGAUACCCCAGUAGUC